AUGGUUUCCUCAGUAUAUGGGCCUCAAGGUGAUGAUAAUAAAUUGCGAUUUCUGGAGCAGCUGCUGCAGUUUGGUGAGCAAGUUCACUUGCCAUGGAUCUUAAAUGGUGACUUUAACUUGAUCUAUUCCGAGGAGGAGCGCAGCUCAGGGAGGGGUAAUAGAAGACUCAUGUCUAAAUUCAGACACACCAUUAACAGACUGGGGCUGCAUGAUAUGCCAAUGAUGGGUAGGCGAUUCACUUGGUGCAAUCAGCAGGAGCGAUCUGUAAUGGCCAGACUGGACAGGGUACUCUUCAACAAUGACUGGGAAGAUAUUCACCCCAUUAGUGAUCUGCUGCCGCUCAGUUCUAAUAUUUCAGAUCACACACCCUUGCUGCUCUCCUGUUGUGCGGCUAGACCUCGGACUGGACGUUUUCACUUUGAA
This 423-nucleotide ribosomal RNA is filed under the name Triticum aestivum (bread wheat). RNAcentral's name for it is "partial small subunit ribosomal RNA". The record is from RNAcentral. Lineage: Eukaryota; Viridiplantae; Streptophyta; Magnoliopsida; Poales; Poaceae.